GGGGUUAUAGCUCAGUUGGUUAGAGUGCUUCGUUGACAUCGAAGAGGUCACAGAUUCGAAUUCUGUUAAUCCCACCA
RNAcentral lists this transfer RNA (77 nucleotides) under Propionispira arboris. RNAcentral describes it as "tRNA_Val_GAC". It matches the Rfam family "tRNA". From Rfam's summary of the family: Transfer RNA (tRNA) molecules are approximately 80 nucleotides in length. Their secondary structure includes four short double-helical elements and three loops (D, anti-codon, and T loops). Lineage: Bacteria; Bacillati; Bacillota; Negativicutes; Selenomonadales; Selenomonadaceae. The record is from RNAcentral.